Neogale vison (American mink) is the source of this 953-nucleotide long non-coding RNA. RefSeq lists it as uncharacterized. The transcript has 3 exons. The record is from RefSeq and is a predicted model, not a curated record. NCBI's taxonomy places the organism in Eukaryota, Metazoa, Chordata, Mammalia, Carnivora, Mustelidae.
GGUUGCCCCCUCCUGGACAACAAUAGGACUGGUGGAGCUUGGCAGGGGGAAGGACAUGGAGCAUCUCUAGGGGAGGAGGAGGAGGAGGAAGAAGGAGAGCAGAGAAGGACAGGAACAAGGACAGAGGAAGACAAAGUCCCGCAGAGGCAGUCUUAGGGACAGUGACAGCCUCCUGGGGCGAAAGGAUCACACAGCCAGGCUUCCGGGUCUGGGAGAGAAUCGGAGGUGGGAGGAGCAGGUGGGCAAACAGAGAUUCCCCUGUACCCUGCGGAGAUCAAGCGACCAGGGCCAGGGAGGACUCGGAGCUAGCGACGCACCCCACUGAGGGCAGAGCCCAGCAUCCCCAGAGCAGCAGGCCGUGGGUGGCCAGCUGCACUGACUCCCUUUGUCCUCUCUCACGGCCAACCCCAGCAUCCUCGCUGCUCUCUGACCCGGAGAAGGAUUCCACGGAAGACAACAAUUCCGACGAAAGGAGCCACCCUGCGCCUCUCUCGAGAAGCUUCCCUUCGGUGGACAUGGUGCAAACGACAAGGGAAGCAGAAGAAGAGGAGGACUCGGGAACGGGCUGCGCCACAGGACAGUGUGCCCACCACCCCGAGGCACCAGAGGCUCCUGGGGUGCUCCGACAAAGGGAGCCAGGAGGGCCCUGGGGCCCCACUUGCGGCUCCGAUUUGGGCCCGGAGGAGGAUUCGGCAUGAGCACACAAGGAAACACGCCUGCAGGGACGGCUCUCUUACGCCUGACCUCCGAAGGCCAAAGAGAAGACUUCAGGGCAGCCCACCCGAGGACGGCACUGGAGCCCCGAGGACGAGACGAGAGGACCCUCUGAGUCGGCCGCCAAACCCAGAGUUGGCUGCCCGGGCCCUGCCAAUGACGGACACUUGAAGCACGAGGCAACCACCUGGGCCCACAACAGUCCGUUGUGUGGGGAGACUGGGCCCACCUGGGACUGG